UGGGGAAUAUUGCACAAUGGGCGCAAGCCUGAUGCAGCCAUGCCGCGUGUAUGAAGAAGGCCUUCGGGUUGUAAAGUACUUUCAGCGGGGAGGAAGGCGAUAAGGUUAAUAACCUUGUCGAUUGACGUUACCCGCAGAAGAAGUACCGGCUAACUCCGUGCCAGCAGCCGCGGUAAUACGGAGGGUGCAAGCGUUAAUCGGAAUUACUGGGCGUAAAGCGCACGCAGGCGGUCUGUCAAGUCGGAUGUGAAAUCCCCGGGCUCAACCUGGGAACUGCAUUCGAAACUGGCAGGCUAGAGUCUUGUAGAGGGGGGUAGAAUUCCAGGUGUAGCGGUGAAAUGCGUAGAGAUCUGGAGGAAUACCGGUGGCGAAGGCGGCCCCCUGGACAAAGACUGACGCUCAGGUGCGAAAGCGUGGGGAGCAAACA
RNAcentral lists this ribosomal RNA (427 nucleotides) under uncultured bacterium. RNAcentral describes it as "partial 16S ribosomal RNA". It matches the Rfam family "Bacterial small subunit ribosomal RNA", at positions 355 to 774 of the family's 1533-position model. The record is from RNAcentral.